GACGAACGCUGGCGGCGUGCUUAACACAUGCAAGUCGAACGGAAGGGCCCUGCUUUUGUGGGGUGCUCGAGUGGCGAACGGGUGAGUAACACGUGAGUAACCUGCCCUUGACUUUGGGAUAACUUCAGGAAACUGGGGCUAAUACCGGAUAGGAGCUCCUGCUGCAUGGUGGGGGUUGGAAAGUUUCGGCGGUUGGGGAUGGACUCGCGGCUUAUCAGCUUGUUGGUGGGGUAGUGGCUUACCAAGGCUUUGACGGGUAGCCGGCCUGAGAGGGUGACCGGCCACAUUGGGACUGAGAUACGGCCCAGACUCCUACGGGAGGCAGCAGUGGGGAAUAUUGCACAAUGGGCGGAAGCCUGAUGUAGCAACGCCGCGUGCGGGAUGACGGCCUUCGGGUUGUAAACCGCUUUCGCCUGUGACGAAGCGUGAGUGACGGUAAUGGGUAAAGAAGCACCGGCUAACUACGUG
Molecule: ribosomal RNA, 468 nt
Filed under: uncultured bacterium
Lineage: Bacteria
Description: partial 16S ribosomal RNA
Rfam family: Bacterial small subunit ribosomal RNA
Source: RNAcentral